RNAcentral lists this ribosomal RNA (457 nucleotides) under uncultured bacterium. Its description in RNAcentral is "bacterial SSU rRNA". It matches the Rfam family "Bacterial small subunit ribosomal RNA", at positions 340 to 786 of the family's 1533-position model. The record is from RNAcentral.
UACGGGAGGCAGCAGUGGGGAAUAUUGCACAAUGGGCGAAAGCCUGAUGCAGCUAUGCCGCGUGUAUGAAGAAGGCCUUAGGGUUGUAAAGUACUUUCAUCGGGGAGGAAAAACAAAACUAAUAAUUUUAUUUCUUGACGUUACCCGAAAAAGAAGCACCGGUUAACUCCGUGCCAGCAGCCGCGGUAAUACGGAGGGUGCUAGCGUUAAUCAGAAUUACUGGGCGUAAAGAGCACGUAGGUGGUUUUUUUAAGUUCAGAUGUGAAAUCCCUGGGCUUAACCUAGGAACUGCAUUUUGAAACUGAAAUACUAGAGUAUCGUAGAGGGAGGUAGAAUUCUAGGUGUAGCGGUGAAAUGCGUAGAUAUCUGGAGGAAUACCUGUGGCGAAAGCGGCCUCCUAAACGAAUACUGACACUGAGGGUGCGAAAGCGUGGGGAGCAAACAGGGAUUAGAUACC